Molecule: ribosomal RNA, 301 nt
Filed under: uncultured bacterium
Lineage: Bacteria
Description: partial 16S ribosomal RNA
Rfam family: Bacterial small subunit ribosomal RNA
Source: RNAcentral
CAGUCGCCACGGUAAUACGUAGGGUGCAAGCGUUAAUCGGAAUUACUGGGCGUAAAGCGCACGCAGGCGGUCUGUCAAGUCAGAUGUGAAAUCCCCGGGCUUAACCUGGGAACUGCAUUUGAAACUGGCAGGCUAGAGUCUUGUAGAGGGGGGUAGAAUUCCAGGUGUAGCGGUGAAAUGCGUAGAGAUCUGGAGGAAUACCGGUGGCGAAGGCGGCCCCUGGACAAAGACUGACGCUCAGGUGCGAAAGCGUGGGGAGCAAACAGGAUUAGAUACCCCGGUAGUCCCUGUCUCUUAUACA